This 492-nucleotide ribosomal RNA is filed under the name uncultured bacterium. RNAcentral describes it as "partial 16S ribosomal RNA". It matches the Rfam family "Bacterial small subunit ribosomal RNA", at positions 29 to 507 of the family's 1533-position model. The record is from RNAcentral.
AGUGAACGCUGGCGGUAGGCCUAACACAUGCAAGUCGAACGGCAGCACAGUAAGAGCUUGCUCUUACGGGUGGCGAGUGGCGGACGGGUGAGGAAUACAUCGGAAUCUACUUUUUCGUGGGGGAUAACGUAGGGAAACUUACGCUAAUACCGCAUACGACCUACGGGUGAAAGCAGGGGAUCUUCGGACCUUGCGCGAUUGAAUGAGCCGAGGUCGGAUUAGCUAGUUGGCGGGGUAAAGGCCCACCAAGGCGACGAUCCGUAGCUGGUCUGAGAGGAUGAUCAGCCACACUGGAACUGAGACACGGUCCAGACUCCUACGGGAGGCAGCAGUGGGGAAUAUUGGACAAUGGGCGCAAGCCUGAUCCAGCCAUGCCGCGUGGGUGAAGAAGGCCUUCGGAUUGUAAAGCCCUUUUGUUGGGAAAGAAAAGCAGCAGGUUAAUACCCCGCUGUUCUGACGGUACCCAAAGAAUAAGCACCGGCUAACUUCGUG